AACACUGUUAACCUGCGGUACCUGCGGAGGGAUCAUUAAAGAUUGACCGAAAGGUCUUAUCUCUAUAUCCCUCACCUCUGUGAACUGUGGACCUCCGGGUCUAUUUAACAAACAUCAGUGUAAUGAACGUAUAUAUCAUUAAACAAAACAAAACUUUCAACAAUGGAUCU
Molecule: unclassified non-coding RNA, 170 nt
Filed under: soil metagenome
Description: partial contains 5.8S ribosomal RNA, internal transcribed spacer 2, and large subunit ribosomal RNA
Source: RNAcentral